AGUGGUACCGCUGCUUCGACUUUUACUAAGCAGCGCCACCAAACUGCUAUCAAAUUUUGAGGCCUACCUAGG
Molecule: small nuclear RNA, 72 nt
Filed under: Leptomonas seymouri
Lineage: Eukaryota; Euglenozoa; Kinetoplastea; Trypanosomatida; Trypanosomatidae
Description: u5 snRNA
Source: RNAcentral